CCGCGUCUCUCUCUAGUACCCUUCUCCUUUUUUUUUUUCAUUGAUUUGGCUUUGCUUUCCUGUUCGGUGAAUUUUUUGGCAGUCUUGUAGGCUCAACUGGAAGUUGGGUUUUCUCUUUGGAUUGUUUCCGCAAAAGGUUGGAGGAUGGGUAUGGGAUUUGGUCGGUGUGGACGCAGAACCGGCCUUGGAAUACACUGCCGGGAGGGGUGAUUUUCACCGAUGUGUCGGCGUGGACGUAGAUGUUGAAGAGGUGACGGUUGCCAUCGAAGAAUUUCUCGAGAAAGGGAGCGAAAGAGAGGUCGGAGUUUGUGAGGAAGAGGAAGGCAAUCUUGGGCUUGGGAUUGGUGGCGGUGCCCAAGUGGGAGUGCGUGGAGCACGUGCGCACGGGGGAAAGGCGGGUGGUCUUGCGGAAGAGGGCUAGGUCGGCGAGGUCAUCGGAGAAGCGUGCCGGCGGGAGGAUUUUAGGGCCGAAGACAAAGAGAAGGGCUAUGGAGAGGAACAGAGCGAAGCAGAGGACAAAUGGGGUUGAUGAUCAGGUGAUGGAUGAAGAAAUAGAGAGAGAGAGAGAGAGAGAGAGAGACGCACCAGGAUGUAGAUGAGAGAGGCAAUAAUAAUGGUGCGGUAGCGCCCCAGAAAAGAAUCGGCGACAAAUGCACCCAACAAAGGCAGCAGCUGCGCCGUUCCAGACCACGCGUUCACGUUCUCGGCCGCCGUGACCGUGGACUGCCCCAGCGGCCCAGUCAGGAAAAAAUAAAAGUGGGCCUUUUGAAUUCGUCAUCGAUAAAGAAAAUGGCCCCCAUAGAAACACCCACUACUGCAAUUGUCAAGCUGAAGAAAGGGCAAAAAGGUAAUUGCACAGCGCAAAAUCAUGAGAGGUGACACGUGUGCUUUGUAUAUCGAUCGUUUGAAGUUUGUAUGCCAACAGAAACGACGUCGUGUAAUCCCAGACCUCGGAACCGGAACGCUUCGGGAGAUUGUGAAAGUUUCUCUUCUUACAUUUCUUGAGCAUCAGAUCUGCUUCGUCUUCUUCUGCUUAUUUCUCUUGAGCCACUGCAUCAGAUCGGCUUCUGUUUUUCUUCCACUACAUCCGGAAAUGGGUACGACUGCUAAGUCUACAAACUCUCUUGCUUUCUUCUUCAAUCAUUUGUGUAUGGAUCAUCGUUAUUCUCAUGCAAGGCUUUCUUUCCAUGCUCUAUAUUUUUUUUUAUUAUUAUUAUUAUUAUUGUCGUAGUUUUAGUGCUACUUCUGCUAACACUACCAAUAGUGGUAGAGAUAUUGUGGAAAGCCCCAAUCACUUCUUGCAAUCUGUGAGAGAUCGAUGCAAAUUUCGAAGCUUAAGCAAUCUUGAUGAUGCCUUACCCCUGUUUCAUAGAAUGCUUCACAUGUACCCCUUGCCUUCCCUCGUGGAUUUUAAUCAAUUGCUGGGUGCAAUUGCAAGAACGAAGCAUCACUCAACUGUGAUUUCUCUGAUUAAAGAAAUGGAAAUGUCAGGAAUUGCUCCCGAUGUUUGUACUCUAGGUGUUUUGACUAAUUGCUUCUGCAAUUUGAGCCGGGUGGAUUUUGGCUUCUCUAUCUUAGCAAGAAUUUUGAAACUAGGUUUCCAACUGGACUCUAUAAUUCUUAAUACCCUUGUCAAGGGGCUCUGUCUUCAAGGUAGAAUUGCUGAAGCUGUGAAGUAUGCUAACAAAAUGGAGAAGAUUGGCUAUAAACCUGAUACAGUUACUUAUGGAACAAUAAUAAACAGUAUGUGUAAAAUAGGUGAGACCAGGGUGGCUAUUGGGUUGCUUCGAAAGAUGGAAGAACGAAAGCUUGAACUUAAUGUAGUGCUGUAUAACACUAUCAUUGAUAGUUUAUGUAAGGACAGAUUGGUAACUGAAGCUUUAAACUUUUUACCCGAAAUGACAAAUAGAGGAAUUCAGCCAAGCAUUUUCACUUACAAUUCUUUAAUUCAGAACCUAUGUAAUUUCGGCCGGUAGAAGGAGACAACUAAACUAUUGAAGGAGAUGGUUGAAAGGAAAAUCAUGCCAAAUGUGUGUACAUUCAGCAUAUUGGUGGACACACUUGGCAAAAAAAAAGAUGUUGAAAGAGGUAAAAGAAGUCUUUGAUGUAAUGAUUCAGAGAGGGAUAGAGCCCAACACAAUCACUUACAAUUCUUUAAUUGACAGUUACUGUUUGCAAAAUAGAAUGGAUCAGGCCAGAACAGCCGGAUUCCUGCAAUU
Molecule: long non-coding RNA, 2219 nt
Organism: Alnus glutinosa
Lineage: Eukaryota; Viridiplantae; Streptophyta; Magnoliopsida; Fagales; Betulaceae
Exons: 3
Source: RefSeq, a predicted model, not a curated record